This 759-nucleotide ribosomal RNA is filed under the name Dietzia sp. RNAcentral's name for it is "bacterial SSU rRNA". It matches the Rfam family "Bacterial small subunit ribosomal RNA", at positions 93 to 866 of the family's 1533-position model. The record is from RNAcentral. Lineage: Bacteria; Bacillati; Actinomycetota; Actinomycetes; Mycobacteriales; Dietziaceae.
GAGUGGCGAACGGGUGAGUAACACGUGGGUAAUCUGCCCUGCACUUCGGGAUAAGCCUGGGAAACUGGGUCUAAUACCGGAUAUGAGCUCUCACCGCAUGGUGGGGGUUGGAAAGUUUUUCGGUGCAGGAUGAGCCCGCGGCCUAUCAGCUUGUUGGUGGGGUAAUGGCCUACCAAGGCGACGACGGGUAGCCGGCCUGAGAGGGUGAUCGGCCACACUGGGACUGAGACACGGCCCAGACUCCUACGGGAGGCAGCAGUGGGGAAUAUUGCACAAUGGGCGGAAGCCUGAUGCAGCGACGCCGCGUGGGGGAUGACGGUCUUCGGAUUGUAAACCCCUUUCAGUAGGGACGAAGCGCAAGUGACGGUACCUGCAGAAGAAGCACCGGCCAACUACGUGCCAGCAGCCGCGGUAAUACGUAGGGUGCGAGCGUUGUCCGGAAUUACUGGGCGUAAAGAGCUCGUAGGCGGUUUGUCGCGUCGUCUGUGAAAUCCUCCAGCUUAACUGGGGGCGUGCAGGCGAUACGGGCAGACUUGAGUACUACAGGGGAGACUGGAAUUCCUGGUGUAGCGGUGAAAUGCGCAGAUAUCAGGAGGAACACCGGUGGCGAAGGCGGGUCUCUGGGUAGUAACUGACGCUGAGGAGCGAAAGCAUGGGUAGCGAACAGGAUUAGAUACCCUGGUAGUCCAUGCCGUAAACGGUGGGCGCUAGGUGUGGGGGUCUUCCACGACUUCCGUGCCGCAGCUAACGCAUUAAGCG